UGAGGAAUAUUGGUCAAUGGACGCAAGUCUGAACCAGCCAAGUAGCGUGCAGGAUGACGGCCCUAUGGGUUGUAAACUGCUUUUAUAUGGGGAUAAAGUGGGGAACGUGUUCCCUUUUGCAGGUACCAUAUGAAUAAGGACCGGCUAAUUCCGUGCCAGCAGCCGCGGUAAUACGGAAGGUUCGGGCGUUAUCCGGAUUUAUUGGGUUUAAAGGGAGCGUAGGCCGUUUGGUAAGCGUGUUGUGAAAUGUAGGAGCUCAACUUCUAGAUUGCAGCGCGAACUGUCAGACUUGAGUGCGCACAACGUAGGCGGAAUUCAUGGUGUAGCGGUGAAAUGCUUAGAUAUCAUGAAGAACUCCGAUUGCGAAGACAGCUUACGGGAGCGCAACUGACGCUGAAGCUCGAAGGUGCGGGUAUCGAACAGG
Molecule: ribosomal RNA, 424 nt
Filed under: Verrucomicrobiota bacterium
Lineage: Bacteria; Pseudomonadati; Verrucomicrobiota
Description: Verrucomicrobia bacterium partial 16S ribosomal RNA
Rfam family: Bacterial small subunit ribosomal RNA
Source: RNAcentral